GAUGAACGCUGGCGGCGUGCCUAAUACAUGCAAGUCGAACGAAGAUCUAGCUUGCUAGAUCUUAGUGGCGAACGGGUGAGUAAUACAUAAAUAAUCUGCCCAUAUGACUGGGAUAACUAUUGGAAACGAUAGCUAAUACCGGAUAGGUUGAUCGGAGGCAUCUCUGAUGAAUUAAAGUAGGUUUUCUACACAAAUGGAUGAGUUUAUGGCGCAUUAGUUAGUUGGUGGGGUAACGGCCUACCAAGACGAUGAUGCGUAGCCGACCUGAGAGGGUGACCGGCCACACGGGGACUGAGACACGGCCCAGACUCCUACGGGAGGCAGCAGUAGGGAAUUUUCGGCAAUGGGCGCAAGCCUGACCGAGCAACGCCGCGUGAGUGAUUAAGGCCUUCGGGUUGUAAAGCUCUGUUGUAAGGGAAGAACAUUCAGGAUAGGAAAUGAUCUUGAACUGACGGUACCUUACCAGAAAGCCACGGCUAACUACGUGCCAGCCGCCGCCGUAA
This 503-nucleotide ribosomal RNA is filed under the name uncultured bacterium. RNAcentral describes it as "partial 16S ribosomal RNA". It matches the Rfam family "Bacterial small subunit ribosomal RNA", at positions 28 to 523 of the family's 1533-position model. The record is from RNAcentral.